RNAcentral lists this ribosomal RNA (204 nucleotides) under uncultured bacterium. RNAcentral describes it as "partial 16S ribosomal RNA". It matches the Rfam family "Bacterial small subunit ribosomal RNA", at positions 568 to 774 of the family's 1533-position model. The record is from RNAcentral.
AGCGCAGGCGGUUUGAUAAGUCUGAAGUAAAAGGCUGUGGCUUAACCAUAGUAUGCUUUGGAAACUGUCAAACUUGAGUGCAGAAGGGGAGAGUGGAAUUCCAUGUGUAGCGGUGAAAUGCGUAGAUAUAUGGAGGAACACCGGUGGCGAAAGCGGCUCUCUGGUCUGUAACUGACGCUGAGGCUGAAAGCUGGGGAGCAAACA